This 348-nucleotide ribosomal RNA is filed under the name uncultured Allobrachymonas sp. Its description in RNAcentral is "bacterial SSU rRNA". It matches the Rfam family "Bacterial small subunit ribosomal RNA", at positions 1025 to 1382 of the family's 1533-position model. Lineage: Bacteria; Pseudomonadati; Pseudomonadota; Betaproteobacteria; Burkholderiales; Comamonadaceae. The record is from RNAcentral.
AACCUGCACACAGGUGCUGCAUGGCUGUCGUCAGCUCGUGUCGUGAGAUGUUGGGUUAAGUCCCGCAACGAGCGCAACCCUUGCCAUUAGUUGCUACGAAAGGGCACUCUAAUGGGACUGCCGGUGACAAACCGGAGGAAGUGGGGAUGACGUCAAGUCCUCAUGGCCCUUAUAGUGGGGCUACACACGUCAUACAAUGGUCGGUACAGAGGGUUGCCAACCCGCAGGGGGAGCUAAUCCCACAAAGCCGAUCGUAGUCCGGAUCGCAGUCUGCAACUCGACUGCGUGAAGUCGGAAUCGCUAGUAAUCGUGGAUCAGCAUGUCACGGUGAAUACGUUCCCGGGUCUU